GACGAACGCUGGCGGCGUGCUUAACACAUGCAAGUCGAACGGAAAGGCCCUGCUUUUGUGGGGUGCUCGAGUGGCGAACGGGUGAGUAACACGUGAGUAACCUGCCCUUGACUUUGGGAUAACUUCAGGAAACUGGGGCUAAUACCGGAUAGGAGCUCCUGCUGCAUGGUGGGGGUUGGAAAGUUUCGGCGGUUGGGGAUGGACUCGCGGCUUAUCAGCUUGUUGGUGGGGUAGUGGCUUACCAAGGCUUUGACGGGUAGCCGGCCUGAGAGCGUGACCGGCCACAUUGGGACUGCGAUACGGCCCAGACUCCUACGGUAGGCAGCAGUGGGGAAUAUUGCACAAUGGGCGGAAGCCUGAUGCAGCAACGCCGCGUUCGUGAUGACGGCCUUCGGGUUGUAAACCGCUUUCGCCUGUGACGAAGCGUGAGUGACGGUAAUGGGUAAAGAAGCACCGGCUAACUACGUG
This 468-nucleotide ribosomal RNA is filed under the name uncultured bacterium. Its description in RNAcentral is "partial 16S ribosomal RNA". It matches the Rfam family "Bacterial small subunit ribosomal RNA", at positions 28 to 507 of the family's 1533-position model. The record is from RNAcentral.